This 64-nucleotide transfer RNA is filed under the name Anomolachesilla palaciosi. RNAcentral's name for it is "tRNA-Met". The record is from RNAcentral. Lineage: Eukaryota; Metazoa; Arthropoda; Insecta; Psocodea; Lachesillidae.
UAAAAAGUAAGCUAAUUUAAGCUUUUGGGUUCAUACCUCAACCAUAGAAUCAUUCUCUUUUUAA